GUGUCAGCAGCCGCGGUAAUACGGGGGUGGCGAGCGUUACUCGGAUUCAUUGGGUGUAAAGGGCAGGUAGGCGGCUAUGUAAGUUGGAGGUGAAAUCCUUUGGCUCAACCAAAGAACUGCCUUCAAAACUACAUGGCUUGAGGCUAAAAGAGGAGAGCGGAAUUCCCGGUGUAAGGGUGAAAUCUGUAGAUAUCGGGAGGAACACCAGUGGCGAAGGCGGCUCUCUGGUUUAGCCCUGACGCUGAGCUGCGAAAGCUAGGGGAGUAAACAGGAUUAGAUACCCUGGUAAUCCUAGCCGUAAACGAUGAGCACUAGGUGUUGGUUCGAAAGAGUCAGCGCCGUAAGAUAACUCGUUAAGUGCUCCACCUGGGGACUACGACCGCAAGGUUAAAACUCAAAUGAAUUGACGGGG
This 412-nucleotide ribosomal RNA is filed under the name uncultured prokaryote. Its description in RNAcentral is "bacterial SSU rRNA". It matches the Rfam family "Bacterial small subunit ribosomal RNA", at positions 505 to 918 of the family's 1533-position model. The record is from RNAcentral.